AUACGGAGGGUGCAAGCGUUAUCCGGAAUCAUUGGGUUUAAAGGGUCCAUAGGCGGACUAUUAAGUCAGAGGUGAAAUCCCACAGCUCAACUGUGGAACUGCCUUUGAUACUGGUAGUCUUGAGUUAUAUGGAAGUAGAUAGAAUGUGUAGUGUAGCGGUGAAAUGCAUAGAUAUUACACAGAAUACCGAUUGCGAAGGCAGUCUACUACGUAUAUACUGACGCUAAGGGACGAAAGCGUGGGGAGCGAACAGGAUUAGAAACCCCGGUAGUCC
RNAcentral lists this ribosomal RNA (274 nucleotides) under uncultured bacterium. Its description in RNAcentral is "partial 16S ribosomal RNA". It matches the Rfam family "Bacterial small subunit ribosomal RNA", at positions 523 to 796 of the family's 1533-position model. The record is from RNAcentral.